UCAUACAUGUAGCAGAGAGUGAAGGAUUUACACACUAGUCUCACUUUCAGUUUGCUUUUUCAGACUUUGGUUGAGUUUGAUUUGAUUGAUCUCACAAAGUCACGAUCUACCCACAGAGAAGCUGAAACUACGGAGACCGUUGGGUGCCAGUGGUUAAAAAUUUUAAAAAAUCUGAUAAACUGUGCUCACAGAUUACUAAACCGUGCGCACCAUUUAGUAAACUGUGUGCACGGAUAAGUAAACUGUGUGCACCGAUUACUAAAUGGUGCACACGGAUUAAUCAAUUGUGCUCGUACUUUUAAGCAAUUGUGCGCACACGCACAUUUAUUGCAUGUGUGUGUCUCUGAGCAGAGCAGAUAUACUCUGUUAAGAAUAGUUAGAAACAGAAUAGUUAGAAACUCUCUUUUUUACUUUUUAUUACACUAAUGGUUCAAACUUAAUUCAUUAUGCAUGUAUUAUCAUCUCAAAAUUGUAUUACAUUUGAAGACAGCACAGCCAAAACCAUUUUUCUCAUAAGAUUCCUCCAGCAUCCUCCCCUUUUCAUCUUUGUGUGUGCUGGUGCCUGUGCUCUGGUAAAUGUCUGUGAGAACCUCAGAGAGAUCUGACACUUGAAGCUUCCUGACCUUCGAGCAUCUCCCUGCAACAACCUGUGGGUGUGAUUUUCACACCAUUGUCCAGUGUGUGAUCCUUUGAAUAUGCAAAUGCAGGGUUUAUAUUCCAAGCCCAUCUCCCUGCCUCCGUUGUUCAGACUUUGUGUGCAGACUUUGCUGUUCACUUCGUCUGUAACCCUUCAUACAAUCUGAUUAGUGCUGCUUGUGCGGAGUAAACUUCCACUGAAGAUAAUUUUUGCCUCUAAGUCAUUAUUAAUUCGUUUCUGUGUGCAGGGAACUGUGGGAUCCACUGGAUUCAGAUGACACCAACAGAGAAACCGGCCCACUCCUUCUAUUACAACACAGACCAACUGCAGCGGCAGCACGAAGGAUUCAGGGGCAGAACGUCUCUGUCCAAGGAGCAGAUCUCCAGAGGAAACGCCUCCCUGCUGCUGUCAGGAGUGAGGGUUGAGGAUGAGGGCAGAUAUAAGUGCUACAGCAGCGUCCUGGCAGGGAACCACGAGUCCUUCAUCAACCUGAAGGCGUACGUGCCGGAAUUGUGCCGGAAAAAUGAACCAAAUGAGUUCUAUCGCUAGA
Non-coding RNA from Oryzias latipes (Japanese medaka), 1187 nucleotides. Lineage: Eukaryota; Metazoa; Chordata; Actinopteri; Beloniformes; Adrianichthyidae. The record is from RefSeq and is a predicted model, not a curated record.